Molecule: long non-coding RNA, 3145 nt
Organism: Hipposideros armiger (great roundleaf bat)
Lineage: Eukaryota; Metazoa; Chordata; Mammalia; Chiroptera; Hipposideridae
Exons: 3
Source: RefSeq, a predicted model, not a curated record
GGAACUGAGACCUGAUUGGAUCACUGGCUUUCCGGCUUAAUGAAGCCGACCGAGUGUCGUCAGAACUGCGGGAGGACAUUUUGGAAGCGGAAUCUUCCGUGUAAUCAUCCUUCCUCUUGGAGCCUCACCUCUGCCCUUACCCUAGGCCACCUGCAGCAGAUGUUUCCCUGAAGUCCUGUGCUCACAACUAUCAGAUGGCAGCAAAGGGAACAGCUGCAGCAUGAAGAUCCUGGGCUGCAGUAUUACCGCCGAAACCCCUACCUACUCUCGUUUCCCACCCCUUUCCCCUUGCUCCAUCUGUGUAAUGAAGGCUCCGCGUUGGGGGAGAGGGAGCCAGGCGCUACAAGGGGCAAGGACGGGCGUGGGCACCGGAGGAAGGGUAUAGGGAAGGGCGUACGAAAAGGUGGCUCAGGAGCGCCGGGAAAAGAGCCUCCUGGCAAGUAGGUCAGGAGGGACGCGAGUGGGACGCAAGGUGACGUCAGGAGAAGGCGGUGUGAAGAUCGGCGUGGCUAUAAAACCCAGGCGCAGGCCCAAGGCCACACUGAACAAAGAUGGCGCUCCUGUUGUUUUUCUGCUCUUGGUGUAGUCCUGCGCCCCCGGCGAUGGCGCGCUGGUCACCCACUCGUCCUGUUUUGGUGGGGAUGGAGGUGGCCUUAACUUGGCCAGCUGGGACAGGCACCUUCCCUGGGAAGAGGUUCUAGUAGACCCACAGGCAGAGCCAGCCGUCCUGCACAUAGACACCCACCACCAUGCAACUUCCAAUACUUGAGGCACCCAGGUAGAACCUCCAAAAUGAAUGUCUGCUUCUAGUGGGUGUCUGGAAGAGAAACAGGUCGGGAGGGGGUUGCUGGCCAGGGCCAUAGGGCAGCAGUCUCCAGAUACGGGCACUGGAGGCCACUAGAGGGCUGAAAACACGGUGCAAAGUCAAGGUGGGGUGCCACCCCCACCGUUAGGGAACAGCUGUUAUCACACCCUCCUAGGGCAGUCAGCAGGGCCCACAGUGGUCAGGACCUGCUCCUCAGAGUCCACCCCCAGGAAUCGAUCCCACAGGUUCUCCUGGGUGGUGGUGACAGCAGGUUAGGUAGACAGAAAUAAACACGGAAAACAAUGAGGCAUUAAAAAGAACACAGCAAGACCUAGAAGUGCUUUCACAUGGGGUCCUUAAAUUCCCAGCAAAGAAAGCAAAUGGUGGGUGCCAGGAGCUGGGGUGGGAGUUGUUUAAUGGGGACAGUUUCAGUUUGGGAAGAUGGCAGUCCUGGAGAUGGAUGCACAACAAUGUGAGUGCACAUCAUACCACUAUUCACUUGACAAUGGUUAAGAUGGCAAAUUUUAUGUCGUGUAUUUUACAAUAAAAAGAGAAAGCUCCUAUAAAUGUUGUAGAAAAAGAUGUAACCACCCCCACCCCCAAAGAAGCAAGCAAGCAAAGUCCUUGUAAAGGCUGAUCAAACAUACAAGCCAGAUGGAGGUGACCAGGUCACAGGAAGAGUUACAUUCUCUCUGGGGAGGGAACUGGUAUUGGGGAGACUGACUUUUCACCACUUACCCUUUGGGAGUUUGUGGUUUGUAACCUAUGUGUGUCAUGCAUCAUCUACUCAAAAAGUAAUUAAGUUUUUGAAAAUAAUUAGAAAAAAAGAAUAAUGUUGCCAGCAUAGCAAUGAGAAAGGCUGGUGGGGGUGGUGCUGUUGAGUUUUUCCUGAAAGUAAUUUGGAAAUGAUUAGAAAACCUAUUUUUCAUGCCUAUUAAUCCAGCAAUUACACUUCUAGGAAUCUAAGGAAGCCAUCCAAAAUGCAGCAAAUAUCCACAUACAUGAAGUUCAGGGCAAUGGUAUGUCAGUGGUGGAAAUGGUAUGAACAAAAUUUCGACAAGGGAUUGCUGGGUCAAUACCACCUUUCUUCAUGGGUCAGAAAAUAGCAAAGCAAUGGGAUCACCUGAGGAAAUCUGGACAAGCCACAGGAACUGGGGGAGCCUCUGUCUCCACAAAUGUGAGUGGGACUAUCUGGGAUAGUUUUUUUCUAGCUCUUUUUGGAUUGCAGGCUACCCAGAAUUUAUGGGUAAUCAGAACCGGCAGUUCUCCUUUAUUAAGACCUUUAGACUAGAAAAGUAGUGCUUUAAGGAGACUUUUUAUUGUCUUCAAAAAGUAGACUCUGUAGCUCUGUAUUCAAGUUGGGUAUUUUGAUUGGUUUUUACCUUUCCCUGUUCACAGCCAAUAAAUCUAAUUUUCCCUUUAUUUUCAUAAAGAACACCUUACAAUAUUUUUUUCAAGCAAAAUCUUAGUAUUUCUAAGCAAAAACUAAUCAGUAUGUCUUGCAUAUUUAUGUUGAUUUUACAUAUCUUCUUAGCUUAAGUCUCCCCGAAGCGACUGUUUCAUUGAUUUGUGACUCCCAACACCUAGAACAACGCCUGUAUUUAACAUGCACUAGAAAGAAUAGAUCAAUUUCAUUCCCUCGGAUAGAAUAGAGGUGGGGGGAAAUGUUGAUGUCCGAUUUUGCCUUCAGCUAAUAUUCCUAUAUGUAAAAAAGCAUGUUUCUCAAGAGGAUGUGGCUUGUUCGCUGUUGUAGCCUUACAAUUUGGUGCUGUUGUAUCCCUGCAUGUGGUAAUGAUCUACUUUCUGUAGAAGUCAAGCCUAUUCUUAACAUAAAUUAUGAUUACUAUUUUCCAUAUCACAUUUUAUAUACAUAUACCUCUUGAAAAUUAGCAGGCUACUCAGGCAUUUUUUUCAAUUUAAACUAUGGCUCUGUCAAACUCCCAGCUCAACAAACUGCUUUGGGAAUUUCUAAGUACAUUCUACUCAAGAAGUUGUGCUCUUCAACUUAUCUGAAAUCAAGAGCAGAUUAAUACGGUUGAUAGUUUUAAGCACUUAUAACUCAGCUAUUAGCUAAUAAUAAGAGGUUGAGAUAAAAGCAAACAAAAGGCAAACCCAAUAUAAAAUAAAUGUGUCUACUUAUGGAAAAGAAUAAUUUAAGAAAAUAAUUCAUUAAAAAGAUUUACUUUCUGCAAAUCAUAGGGAAAAGUGCCUCUUUAGCAAUCAACCUAGACUAAAUCUACACAGCACCCUAGUACUUACAGCUAUAACCAAAAAGUUAAAGACAGUGUAGUCUGUGUAACAUGCCCUUACAUCUGAGGUGAGCAAAACUUGCAUUUAACC